RNAcentral lists this ribosomal RNA (547 nucleotides) under Proceratophrys schirchi (Santo smooth horned frog). RNAcentral's name for it is "partial 16S ribosomal RNA". It matches the Rfam family "Bacterial large subunit ribosomal RNA", at positions 1846 to 2593 of the family's 2925-position model. Lineage: Eukaryota; Metazoa; Chordata; Amphibia; Anura; Alsodidae. The record is from RNAcentral.
UAAAAGGUCCAGCCUGCCCAGUGACAAUGUUCAACGGCCGCGGUAUCCUAACCGUGCGAAGGUAGCGUAAUCACUUGUUCUUUAAAUGAGGACUAGUAUGAACGGCAUCACGAAGGUUAUACUGUCUCCUUUUUCUAAUCAGUAAAACUAAUCUUCCCGUGAAGAAGCGGGAAUCCACAUAUAAGACGAGAAGACCCUAUGGAGCUUUAAACAAAAUAACAACUACCUCUGCAAACAAAAAUUUCAGAAAACAAACCACUCAUUUUGGUAUUAUGUCUAUGAGUUUUAGGUUGGGGUGACCGCGGAGCAAAAAACAACCUCCACAUUGAACGGAAACUUACCUAAACAAAAAGCCACAACUUUAUGUAUCAGCAAACUGACAUUAAUUGACCCAAUAAUUUGAUCAACGAACCAAGUUACCCUAGGGAUAACAGCGCAAUCCAUUUCAAGAGCCCCUAUCGACAAAUGGGUUUACGACCUCGAUGUUGGAUCAGGGUCUCCAAGUGGUGCAGCCGCUACUAACGGUUCGUUUGUUCAACGAUUAAAA